Molecule: long non-coding RNA, 486 nt
Organism: Ochotona princeps (American pika)
Lineage: Eukaryota; Metazoa; Chordata; Mammalia; Lagomorpha; Ochotonidae
Exons: 2
Source: RefSeq, a predicted model, not a curated record
UUCUUUUUCUUUUUUGGCAGUUUGUUUAUGAAAUUUAUUUUCUUAUAUGAAUUAUGUAUUUCUCUGGGCAGACAGCCUUUACCUUAUUGCACUAAUAGCACAUCUGUAAUACCAAGCUACAGGACAGGUCUUAACAGAGGUUUGUAUUCUUCAGUAUAGCACUUGUCUACCAGGCACUGUGGAGAGGGAUGGGGAAAAGCUAGGAUUUGGUCAGGAGGUGAAGGAUGGAGCUGGGGAGGGAACAACUGAUAGCCUCUGACAGCUUUUUUCCUGGGAAGGGGAACAUGCAAAGGUUACACCUGGACCUUAGUUGUGGGGUCCAGUUGGAAGGCAACACUGCAGCUUGGCUCCCUUUGUUUCUCAGUUCUGAGUGAGGUGGAGACUCAUUAUCCAUUUAAUUUCAAGAAAUCACUGUGGCCUUUCUGUUGCUUUGGGGACAUCAAUGGGAUAAGAGUCAUCAGAAUUAGAAUUAGCAGCAAUUAAAAA